Rhinopithecus roxellana (golden snub-nosed monkey) is the source of this 5077-nucleotide RNA transcript. It is a transcript of the gene named SFI1 centrin binding protein, with no coding region annotated. The transcript is spliced from 35 exons. The record is from RefSeq and is a predicted model, not a curated record. Lineage: Eukaryota; Metazoa; Chordata; Mammalia; Primates; Cercopithecidae.
GGACGUGCGCCACCCACCCGACUGAGGCUGCGCAAGCCCCGGGGUCUGGGUGGGGUGGUCCUAGUGCGCGCCGUGCCGCGUCGCCGUGGAGACAAGGGCUGGCCCGGCUCGAGACUGGCGUCUAGAAGCGCGCGAAGCGCUGAGGCUGGCGUGGGUAGCGCGGGAGUUAAGAAGCAGGUGUCGGACCCCCUCUCCCGUCGGGUUUUCUCCCAGCGUCAGGCCCGAUGGCUCGGCUUCCCCAGUUAGAAGGAGAAGAUAAAAUACUUUGAUUCAAGAAGAAUCUGCUCACUGAGAAGUGUAUAUCAAGCCACAAUUUCCAUCAAAAAGUGAUUAAGCAGAGAAUGGAGAAGAAGGUUGAUUCCAGGUAUUUUAGGGAUGGUGCAGUUAAGAAACCUUAUUCUGCAAAGACACUGUCCAACAAGAAGUCUUCUGCAUCCUUUGGGAUCCGGAGGGAGUUACCUAGUACCAGGCACCUAGUGCAGUAUCAUGGCACACGUACUUGUACCCGACAGGGCCGGUUAAGAGAACUUCGCAUCAGAUGCAUGGCCAGAAAGUUCUUAUAUUUAUGGAUUCGAAUGACUUUUGGAAGAAUAUUUCCCUCUAAAGCCAGAUUUUACUAUGAGCAGCGAUUACUACGGAAGGUCUUCGAAGAAUGGAAAGAAGAGUGGUGGGUUUUCCAUCAUGAGUGGAAACUCUGUGUUCGAGCUGACUGUCACUACAGGUAUUACCUGUAUAACCUGAUGUUCCAGACCUGGAAGACCUACGUACGUCAGCAGCAGGAGAUGAGGAACAAGUACAUCAGAGCCGAGGUUCAUGAUGCAAAGCAAAAGAUGCGACAGGCCUGGAAGUCCUGGUUGAUCUACGUGAUUGUUCGUAGGACCAAACUUCAGAUGCAGACUACGGCUCUGGAGUUUAGGCAACGGAGUAUCUUAUGGUUGUGGUGGAGCAUGUGGAGGCAGCAACUAGGACAGGUCCGUGUGAGCCGUACCCUCCAUGCCUCUGCUGUGAAGCACAGGGCCCUGAGUCUCCAGCUGCAGGCUUGGUCACAGUGGCGGGAACAGCUCCUGUAUGUCCAGAAGGAGAAACAGAAGGUUGUCUCUGCGGUGAAACACCAUCGGCACUGGCAAAAACGGAGAUUUCUGAAGGCCUGGCUUGAAUACCUGCAAGUUCGCAGAGUGAAGAGACAGCAGAAUGAGAUGGCUGAGCGAUUCCAUCAUGUCACCGUGCUCCAGAUACACUUCUGUGACUGGCAGCAGGCCUGGGAGCAGAGGCAGAGCUUGUAUGCCUACCAUGCCCAGGUGGAGAAACUGGCCAGGAAGAUGGCCCUGCGGCGCACCUUUACUCACUGGAAACACUACAUGCUGCUGUGUGCAGAAGAAGCUGCCCAGUGUGAGAUGGCAGAAGAGCACCACAGGCACAGCCAGCUGUAUUUUUGCUUUAGAGCCUUAAAAGACAAUGUGACCCACGCCCAUCUCCAGCAAAUAAGAAGGAAUCUCGCUCACCGGCAGCAUGGUGUCACGCUGCUGCACAGGUUCUGGAACCUCUGGCAGUCUCAGAUGGAGGAGAAAAAGGAAAGAGAGCAGCUCCCCUUACUGCGUGCUGCCUGGGACCACUACAGGAUAGCACUGAUGUGCAAGUGUAUCAAAUUGUGGCUGCAGUAUACUCAGAAGAGGCGGUACAAGCAGCUGCUACAGGCCAGAGCGGAUGGUCAUUUCCAGCAGAGAACCCUGCCUGCUGCCUUCCACACGUGGAAGAGACUCUGGCGAUGGCGCCAGCAGGAUAGUGUCCUCAAUGCAAAAGCAACACGUUUCCACAGGGAGACAUUAGAGAAGCAGGUAUUUUCUAUCUGGAGGCAGAAGACAUUUCAGCAUCAAGAAAACUGCCUGGCAGAGAGAAUGGCCAUCCUUCAUGCAGAGCGACAGCUUCUGCAUAGGUCUUGGUUCACGUGGCACCAGCAGGCAGCAGCACGUCACCAGGAGCAGGAGUGGCAAACAGUGGCCUGUGCUCACCACCGCCAUGGGCGGCUCAAGAAAGCUUUCUGCCUCUGGAGGGAAAGUGCCCAAGGGCUCAGAACAGAGAGGACGGGCAGGGUGCGGGCAGCAGAAUUCCACAUGGCCCAGCUGCUGCGCUGGGCCUGGAGCCAGUGGAGGGAGCGCCUGGCCCUGCGGGGAGCAGAGCGGCGGAAGCUGAUGCAAGCAGAUCUGCACCACCAGCAGAGAGUGCGGCACAGGGCGCUGCAGGCGUGGGUGACUUACCAGGGCAGGGUACAGAGCAUCCUCCAGGAGGUGGCAGCCAGGGAGAGCCAGCACAACAGGCAGCUGCUGCGAGGGGCAUUGCAUCGCUGGAAAGAGAACACCAUGGCCCGAGUGGAUGAAGCCAAAAAAACCUUUCAAGCAAGUACUCAUUACAGAAGGACCAUGUGUUCCAAGGUCCUGGUCCAGUGGCGGGAAGCUGUGUCAGUGCAGAUAUAUUACCGACAGCAGGAGGACUCUGCCAUCUGGGAGGCCCGGAAGGUGCUGGACAGGGGCUGUCUGCGGACCUGGUUUCAGCGCUGGCGGGACUGCAGCCGGAGGUCAGCCCAGCAGAGACUGCAGCUGGAGAGGGCAGUCCAACACCACCGCCGGCAGCUGCUGCUGGAGGGGCUGGCCCGGUGGAAGAUGCACCAUCUGGAGUGUGUCAGAAAGAGGCUCCUGCACAGGCAGAGUACCCAACUGCUGGCACAGAGACUCAGCCGGACCUGCUUCCGCCAGUGGAGACAACAGCUGGCAGCCAAGAGGCAGGAGCAGCAGGCGACAGUGCGGGCCCUGUGGUUCUGGGCCUUUUCGCUGCAGGCAAAGGUGUGGGCCACGUGGCUGGCCUUUGUACUGGAAAGGAGGAGGAAGAAGGCACGGCUGCAGCGGGCGCUCCAGGCCUACCAGGGGCAGCUCCUCCAGGAGGGUGCCACACGGCUCCUGCGCUUUGCAGCCAGCAUGAAGGCCUCCCGGCAGCAGCUGCAGGCCCAGCAGCAGGUCCAGGCGGCUCACAGUCUCCAUCGUGCCGUCCGCCGCUGUGCCACGCUCUGGAAACAGAAAGUGCUGGGCCGGAGCGGGAAGCCUCAGCCCCUGGCAGCCGUCACACCCAGCAGGAAAGUGACAUUGGAGGGUCCCCUUCUCAUCUGCAUUGCCGCUGGGGCUGGGGAUGCCGCCCUGGGAACCAAGAGGCCACAGGCUCCUCUGCUUCAGGGAGCUCUGGGCCGCCUGGCUGCUGAGGAGCCCCACGCCCUGGAACUCAACACUGCCCACUCAGCAAGGAAGCAGCCGCGACGCCCACACUUCCUGCUGGAGCCUGCGCAGAGCCAGAGGUCCCUGGGGUGUGGCACCAUGGGCAGGCCUCAGAAGCCCAAGGAACAUGGCCUAGGCAUGGCUCAGCCAGCAGGCCCCUCCCUGACGCGGCCCUUCCUGGCAGAGGUCCCGAAAGCACAAGUCCCACACAGCCCCCUGCCUGGGGCCCUGUCAAGCACCCCUGGCCCAAAGCAGACCCCGACGGCAAGCACAGGCCCGGAGCUGCUGCUGCUGCCUCCUUCCUCCUCCAUGCCCUGCAGGGCGGCUGCACCAGCCAGGGCGUCAACACAGCCGGCUACUGCUAGGGAUAAGCCCCAGGUCCCCCCAUCCCUGGCCAGUGUCCCUGACCCCCAUCUACUCCUUCCUGGGGACUUCUCAGCCACCAGGGCUGGGCCUGGGCUUUCAACUGCAGGCAGCCUGGACCUUGAGGCUGAACUUGAGGGGAUCCAGCAGCAACUACUGCACUACCAGACCACCAAGCAGAACCUCUGCCUGGGCGACAGAGUGACACUCCAUCUCACAUACACAAAAAAAAGUGCAGAGGAGACAGGCCUGAGACCCACUGCACUCAGUGGUCUGGGGACCAUCAUCAUGCAGCAGCUUCAGAGCUUCGAGAGCAACAGACUCUGGCGCCUCAUCCUUGCCUCUGCACAGGGGAAGAGAGACAAGAAGUCCUGCCAGCGGCAAGCGAGCAGCCUGCGCAGGUGGCUGGAGCUGAGCAGAGAGGAGCCCAGACCUGAGGACCAGGAAGUAGAGCAGCAGGUGCAGAAAGAGCUGCAAGAGCCAGCGGUGCAAGAAGGAAGGGAAGCCUCAGCUGGCUGGCAGGUGGAGCAGCCCAUUCUCAGGACAGCUGCUCAGCAGAGCUACGCCUGACCAGAGAUGUGGCCUCCCUAGAAUUCAGUCCCAGCCCAUCGGCCGCACAGCAGACAAGGAAGUGAGGAGGACACCCUGAGCACCAACAUCAGGGAUUUUCAGAUGCAGGUCUGCGAUGUCGCUGUCACCUGGGCCUGAGCUGCAGACACAGGGUCCGCAGCCCCCACAGGUCCAGCCAGCACUCUGAGGGCCUGGAUGCAGCAGUCUGAGAAGCCCAGCCCUGCUGAGCCCCACCUCGGCCCCACAGCAGGACUUGUGUUCAACAUUCUACUGUGACUGCGUCAGGUCAUAAAGCUGUCUACACCUGGGGUUCCUCCCAGGAGGCAAAGGGAGGUCGUCCCCUCAGGCCCCUCUGUUCUCUCUUCCUUCAGGGAAGCCUGGAGCACCUGAAGACAGAUGAUGGCCUGGGGACAGGCACUGGGUCCCACUAGUUGGUCCCAGAGCCCUCCGGCAGGGCCAGGUACCCAGGAAGUGGCAGCCUGUUAAACUCCAGGUGCUGCUGCCACUGUAGAAACUGCCUCUAAUUGGUGGCUGCAGAUUCUCUAAACACAACCAAGACACCAACUCCCCAAGGUGUAAAAGUGAUUUCAUUCCAACUUUCAACACCUCUGCAUGGUAAGGAAUUAGCAGCUCCCAGAGAGCUGCUCUUAUCCCUCCCAGCUGAUGCCCAGUCACACAGAAGGGCUAUGUGAACCCAGGCCCUUCCCAAGCACAGGUGGGAGCCUGGGCUAAUGUCCAGGGUACCUCAGUGCCCCUGAGCUCUGAUGACACCAACCUGACAAAGGCCCAGGAACAGGGUUUCCUCCUUGGGGUCAACCUGCCUGGGAAGCCAAGGGCAAGAGCGAGCCCUCUAGGGGCCAGGAGGGGCCAAGCCAGUUCCCUUG